CCAGUACCGUGAGGGAAAGGCGAAAAGAACCCCGGCGAGGGGAGUGAAAAAGAACCUGAAACCGUGUACGUACAAGCAGUGGGAGCCUCUUAAUGGGGUGACUGCGUACCUUUUGUAUAAUGGGUCAGCGACUUAUAUUCUGUAGCAAGGUUAACCGAAUAGGGGAGCCGAAGGGAAACCGAGUCUUAACUGGGCGUUAAGUUGCAGGGUAUAGACCCGAAACCCGGUGAUCUAGCCAUGGGCAGGUUGAAGGUUGGGUAACACUAACUGGAGGACCGAACCGACUAAUGUUGAAAAAUUAGCGGAUGACUUGUGGCUGGGGGUGAAAGGCCAAUCAAACCGGGAGAUAGCUGGUUCUCCCCGAAAGCUAUUUAGGUAGCGCCUCGUGAAUUCAUCUCCGGGGGUAGAGCACUGUUUCGGCAAGGGGGUCAUCCCGACUUACCAACCCGAUGCAAACUGCGAAUACCGGAGAAUGUUAUCACGGGAGACACACGGCGGGUGCUAACGUCCGUCGUGAAGAGGGAAACAACCCAGACCGCCAGCUAAGGUCCCAAAGUCAUGGUUAAGUGGGAAACGAUGUGGGAAGGCCCAGACAGCCAGGAUGUUGGCUUAGAAGCAGCCAUCAUUUAAAGAAAGCGUAAUAGCUCACUGGUCGAGUCGGCCUGCGCGGAAGAUGUAACGGGGCUAAACCAUGCACCGAAGCUGCGGCAGCGACACUAUGUGUUGUUGGGUAGGGGAGCG
Molecule: ribosomal RNA, 741 nt
Filed under: Escherichia coli
Lineage: Bacteria; Pseudomonadati; Pseudomonadota; Gammaproteobacteria; Enterobacterales; Enterobacteriaceae
Description: partial 23S ribosomal RNA
Rfam family: Bacterial large subunit ribosomal RNA
Source: RNAcentral